RNAcentral lists this ribosomal RNA (207 nucleotides) under uncultured Burkholderiales bacterium. RNAcentral's name for it is "partial 16S ribosomal RNA". It matches the Rfam family "Bacterial small subunit ribosomal RNA", at positions 568 to 774 of the family's 1533-position model. The record is from RNAcentral. Lineage: Bacteria; Pseudomonadati; Pseudomonadota; Betaproteobacteria; Burkholderiales.
UGCGCAGGCGGUUGUACAAGACGGAUGUGAAAUCCCCGGGCUUAACCUGGGAAUGGCAUUCGUGACUGUAUAGCUAGAGUGUGUUAGAGGGGGGUAGAAUUCCACGUGUAGCAGUGAAAUGCGUAGAUAUGUGGAGGAAUACCGAUGGCGAAGGCAGCCCCCUGGGAUAACACUGACGCUUAUGCACGAAAGCGUGGGGAGCAAACA